AACGAACGCUGGCGGCAGGCCUAACACAUGCAAGUCGAACGCCCCGCAAGGGGAGUGGCGCACGGGUGAGUAACGCGUGGGAAUAUGCCCUUCGGUUUGGAAUAACACAGGGAAACUUGUGCUAAUACCGGAUACGAUCUACGGAUGAAAGAUUUAUCGCCGAGGGAGUAGCCCGCGUAGGAUUAGCUAGUUGGUGAGGUAAUGGCUCACCAAGGCGACGAUCCUUAGCUGGUCUGAGAGGAUGAUCAGCCACACUGGGACUGAGACACGGCCCAGACUCCUACGGGAGGCAGCAGUGGGGAAUAUUGGACAAUGGGCGAAAGCCUGAUCCAGCCAUGCCGCGUGAGUGAUGAAGGCCUUAGGGUUGUAAAGCUCUUUCGCCAGGGAAGAUAAUGACGGUACCUGGAAAAGAAGCCUCGGCUAACUCCGUGCCAGCCGCCGCAGUAA
RNAcentral lists this ribosomal RNA (447 nucleotides) under uncultured bacterium. RNAcentral's name for it is "partial 16S ribosomal RNA". It matches the Rfam family "Bacterial small subunit ribosomal RNA", at positions 29 to 523 of the family's 1533-position model. The record is from RNAcentral.